UCCAUCUCUGUCAUGGGGUGAGUGAGCUGCUCAGUGAACGCAUAGUGAGAGCAGCCCUGCUGACAACCAUAACAACACUAACGCACCAGCUGAACCUUGGUCCAGUGUAUGGUGCAAUUUUUGGAAAC
Molecule: small nuclear RNA, 128 nt
Organism: Scophthalmus maximus (turbot)
Lineage: Eukaryota; Metazoa; Chordata; Actinopteri; Pleuronectiformes; Scophthalmidae
Source: Ensembl